Molecule: ribosomal RNA, 274 nt
Filed under: unidentified marine bacterioplankton
Lineage: Bacteria
Description: partial 16S ribosomal RNA
Rfam family: Bacterial small subunit ribosomal RNA
Source: RNAcentral
CACGGUUGAGUACUUGUACUUAAUGGGUGGCGAGUGGCGAACGGGUGAGUAAUGCGCAGGAAUAUGCCUUGAAGAGGGGGAUAACUUGGGGAAACUCAAGCUAAUACCGCAUACGCUCUACGGAGCAAAGCUGGGGACCUUCGGGCCUGGCACUUUGAGAAUAGCCUGCGUCCGAUUAGCUAGUUGGUAGGGUAAAGGCCUACCAAGGCGACGAUCGGUAGCUGGUCUGAGAGGAUGAACAGCCACACUGGGACUGAGACACGGCCCAGACUCC